AAAGUUACUCAAGCGCACACAAAGAAUGCCUUGACGCAAUAUACCGAUGAAGGACGCGAUGAGCUGCGAAAAGCUCCGGGGAACAGCCACAUAUGUUUUGAUCCGGAGAUGUCCGAAUGGGGAAACCCGGCUAGAGUCAUGUCUAGUCACACGUAUCUGAAUAUAUAGGAUACGGAGUAGGUAACCGCCUGAACUGAAACAUCUUAGUAGGGCGAGGAAGAGAAAUUAAACAAAGAUUCCGUUAGUAGUGGCGAGCGAAUGCGGAAUAGCCCAAACCUUAUUCAUUUUUGCCUAGUAAUUUAUCGGUGAUUUAUCACUGCUGAUGCGCUGGCAAAUAAGUUGGUAGACGAAUAUGAAUACAGGGGUUGUGACAUUGCAAACAACCUUGUGUGAGGUUCCGAUUUAUCGGGGCUCCACACUUGGCGGCAGGUGCUACCAGUAGCCUGCAUAAGGUUAGAAAUUGGUUAGGCGAGCAGAAGCAGUUGGAAAGCUGCACCAGAGACGGUGAUAGUCCGGUACGCCAAGUUUAACCAACCUUAUAUUUGCAAAUCAUGAGAUAAGCAUUCACUUCGGUGAAGGUUUGUCUUAUGUGUUGUCGAGUAGGACGGGACACGUGAAACCCUGUCUGAAUCCGGGAGGUCCACCUUCCAAGGCUAAAUAUAUAUUGCGAUCGAUAGAGAACAAGUACCGUGAGGGAAAGGUUAAAAGAACCCCGGAAGGGGAGUGAAAUAGAUCCUGAAAUUGUGUGCGUACAAGGAGUCGGAGCCCGGCAACGGGUGACGGCGUGCUUUUUGUAGAACGAUCCAACGAGUUAUUUGCAUGUGCAAGCUUAAGUCAUUUGACGGAGGCAUAGCGAAAGCGAGUCUGAAUAGGGCGCACAAGUACAUGUGAAUAGACCCGAAACCGGGUGACCUAACCAUGAGCAGGUUGAAGCGUCGGUAAAACGACGUGGAGGACCGAACCGUAGCGAGUUGCAACACGCCCGGAUGACUUGUGGUUAGAGGUGAAAUGCCAAUCGAACUCGGAGAUAGCUGGUUCUCCUCGAAAUAGCUUUAGGGCUAGCGUGACGUGGUAGCAGAUAGGGGUAGAGCUCUGUUUCGGACUGGGGGGAGCAAUCUUACCCACCCUUGACAAACUACGAAUACUAUCUGUGGAAUCGUUGCAGUUAGAACGGCGGGGCUAAGCUCGUCGCUCAAAAGGGAAACAGCCCAGAUCAUCAUCUAAGGUCCCUAAAUAUACACUAAGUGGGAAACGAGGUGGGGUUUCUUAAACAAUGAGGAUGUUGGCUUAGAAGCAGCCAUUCAUUUAAAGAGUGCGUAACAGCUCACUCAUCAAGAGACCCUGCGCGGAAAAUGUAACGGGGCUAAGUGUAUUACCGAAGAUAUGAAUUGUCACUUUUGUGGCAGUGGUAGAGGAGCGUUCCUCUCUGCGUUGAAGUUGAACCGUGAGGUUUGGUGGAGCGUGAGGAAGUGAGAAUGUUGGAAUGAGUAACCAUAAGGCAGGUGAGAAUCCUGCCCGCCGAAAGAGCAAGGUUUCCUGGGCCACGGUAAUCGUCCCAGGGUUAGUCGGUCCUAAGUCGAGGCGAGUAGCGUAGACGAUGGACAACAGGUUAAUAUUCCUGUACUGGUGUGAAAUUGUUAGCUGUGCGCGGCAUAGUAGCUGGAGCGGAUUCAUGGUUAUAUCCGUCUAAGUAGCAGAAAUGGCUACGAAUGAAACGGCCUUUAGGCUGAAUUCUGGUGAAGGUGCUGACUAGAAAAGCAAACUAACGCGUGUUUCAUGCCAUCCGUACCGCAAACCGACACAGGUGCUCAGGUCGAGAAGACCAAGGCGUACGAGUGAUUCUUCGUUAAGGAACUCGGCAAACAAGCGACCGUAACUUCGGGAUAAGGUCUGCCCCGUCACAGUGUCUAAGACACCGUGACAGCCGUAGUUUUCUUUCGAAAGAUAGGAAAUACGAGUAACAACUGUUAGCGAUAACAGAUGUCUGAGAAGACAAUUACGAAAUAAUUUACCUCUCUUAGUUUGAGAAAGAAAACUCCAAGGCGAGUCCGGAAACAUUGUCGUAGAUGAUGUGACGGGGCCGCAGCUAAGGAGCCCAUGCAACUGUUUACCAAAAACAUAGGUCUGUGCUAACACGAAAGUGGAUGUAUACGGGCUGACGCCUGCCCGGUGCUGGAAGGUUAAGGGGAGAAGUGAGAGCUUUGAACUGAAGCCCCAGUGAACGGCGGCGGUAACUAUAACCGUCCUAAGGUAGCGAAAUUCCUUGUCAGGUAAGUUCUGACCCGCACGAAUGGCGUAAUGAUAUGGGUACUGUCUCAACGAAGAGCUCGGUGAAAGUGCAUUGACGGUAAAGAUGCCGUCUGUCCGCAGCAGGACGAAAAGACCCCGUGCAGCUUUACUACAGCUUGGCAUUGAGCCGGGUUAUAACAUGUGUAGAAUAGGUGAGAGACUUUGAAGCUUGGGCGCUAGCUCAGGUGGAGUCAUCAGUGAAAUAUCACCCUUGUUAUGAUCUUGUUCUUACCUGGACCGAAAUUUGCUCUGCAAAUUACGGUCAUGUAGCAAUUAGCAUGUGACAUGUGACAUAGAUGUAACAAUUUUCAUGUAUCAGAUAAGCCCAGACGUUGGGCCAAAUGAUACAUGUUAUCUGAUACAUCUCUGAGACAUGAAACAUGUGACAUGCCACAUGAGCCGAAAUUUGAAGGUUAAAUUCCGGUUCGGGGACCGUGUCUGGUGGGUAGUUUAACUGGGGCGGUUGCCUCCUAAAGAGUAUCGGAGGCGUUCAAAGGUUAGCUAGGUUCGGAUGGAAAUCGAAUCGAUAGUGUAUACGCAUAAGCUAGCUUGACUGUGAGGCCUACAAGCCGAGCAGGGACGAAAGUCGGAGUAAGUUUUCCGCUGUCAGUACAUUUGUACAAGAGUGUGGUAUCGGCAGCGCUUUCGGAUAAAAGUUACGCCGGGGAUAACAGGCUUAUAGCAUCCAAUAGUUCACAUAGACGAUGCUGUUUGGCACCUCGAUGUCGGCUCAUCUCAUCCUGGGGCUGGAGCAGGUCCCAAGGGUCCGGCUGUUCGCCGGUUAAAGAGGUACGUGAGCUGGGUUCAGAACGUCGUGAGACAGUUCGGUUUAUAUCCGCUGUGGACGCAAGGAAAUUUGAGAGGAUCUACCCCUAGUACGAGAGGACCGGGGCGGACGCACCGCUGGUGUAUCAGUUGUUCUACCAAGGGCAUUGCUGAGUAGCUAUCGUGCGGAAUAGAUAAGCGCUGAAAGCAUAUUAAGCGCGAAACUAGCCUCAAGAUUAGAUUUCCCUAUGAUCCCCCAGAAAGACUAUCUGGUUGAUAGGCGCAAGAUGGAAGUAUGGCAACAUAUGUAGUCGAAGCGUACUAAUAGGGACAUUGACUU
RNAcentral lists this ribosomal RNA (3394 nucleotides) under Candidatus Saccharimonadota bacterium. RNAcentral describes it as "Candidatus Saccharibacteria bacterium 23S ribosomal RNA". It matches the Rfam family "Bacterial large subunit ribosomal RNA". Lineage: Bacteria; Candidatus Saccharimonadota. The record is from RNAcentral.